AAUUGAUUCCUAUGUCAUGCUGUUGCUAAUAUAGAAUUGAUUUUUCUGAGCUCACUUUCAUGCUCACUGAUGUGAUACAGUAAUAACAUGUAUAUUUUAAUUUAGAGUCUAUGACUAUGUACAUUCAUGCAUAUAUCAACAAAAAAAAUUAAAUGUGUAUACUCACAUCAUGUAUAUUUUCACCUCUUCGCAAUUGUUUAGCACAUACCAAUGAUGUCGUCUGUUUUCUGUGGUGUCAAUAUUCGAAAAUCUUUCUUAUCAUAUGGUCGG
This 270-nucleotide long non-coding RNA is filed under the name Elaeis guineensis (African oil palm). RNAcentral describes it as "long non-coding RNA (EGUI_LNC043083)". Lineage: Eukaryota; Viridiplantae; Streptophyta; Magnoliopsida; Arecales; Arecaceae. The record is from RNAcentral.